AUGGCUGGAAGGCCACCACAUGGAGCAUGCCGAUCCCGAUCCUUUCAUGGAAGGACUGGAGCCCUGGCUGCACUGUCUAUGUCGAUGAGAUCGUCGUUGAGCCAUUGCACUACAAGCUGCUGCCUGGAACGCCAGGCAGUAUCAGUGACAGUGAGCCCACCGAGUCCAUGUUGCUGUCAGUCCUCAGUCCUCGCCGCGGGUUUCCCCACAAUGAGUAUGGAUGAUGAUGUUGUUGUGUACCUGCUGUCCAAGGCAUGCUCCGCUGGCGAGAUGGAAGUGGUGAUUGCUGUUGAUUUGAGGAAGAAGACAUUGCGAGGAGUGGGCAAGCUUGUUGCCGGAAAAGACUUCACUGACACGCGCAACCGCACCACUGAGAUGUCCAAGUAUCUCAGUCUCAAUAAGACUGCAGGGCACUUGAAUUAG
Molecule: ribosomal RNA, 423 nt
Filed under: Triticum aestivum (bread wheat)
Lineage: Eukaryota; Viridiplantae; Streptophyta; Magnoliopsida; Poales; Poaceae
Description: partial small subunit ribosomal RNA
Source: RNAcentral